This 253-nucleotide ribosomal RNA is filed under the name uncultured bacterium. RNAcentral's name for it is "partial 16S ribosomal RNA". It matches the Rfam family "Bacterial small subunit ribosomal RNA", at positions 524 to 776 of the family's 1533-position model. The record is from RNAcentral.
UACGUAGGCAGCAAGCGUUGUUCGGAAUUACUGGGCGUAAAGAGUGUGUAGGCGGUGCUCUAAGUUCGGUGUGAAAUCUCCCGGCUCAACUGGGAGGGUGCGCCGAAAACUGGAGUGCUGGAGCGCGGGAGAGGAAAGCGGAAUUCCUGGUGUAGCGGUGAAAUGCGUAGAUAUCGAGAGGAACACCUGCGGCGAAGGCGGGUUGCUGGGCUGACACUGACGCUGAGGCGCGAAAGCUAGGGGAGCGAACGGG